UGGGGAAUAUUGGACAAUGGGGGCAACCCUGAUCCAGCCAUGCCGCGUGUGUGAAGAAGGCCUUUUGGUUGUAAAGCACUUUAAGCAGGGAGGAGAGGCUAAUGGUUAAUACCCAUUAGAUUAGACGUUACCUGCAGAAUAAGCACCGGCUAACUCUGUGCCAGCAGCCGCGGUAAUACAGAGGGUGCGAGCGUUAAUCGGAAUUACUGGGCGUAAAGCGAGUGUAGGUGGCUCAUUAAGUCACAUGUGAAAUCCCCGGGCUUAACCUGGGAACUGCAUGUGAUACUGGUGGUGCUAGAAUAUGUGAGAGGGAAGUAGAAUCCCAGGUGUAGCGGUGAAAUGCGUAGAGAUCUGGAGGAAUACCGAUGGCGAAGGCAGCUUCCUGGCAUAAUAUUGACACUGAGAUUCGAAAGCGUGGGUAGCAAACAGGAUUAGAUACCCUGGUAGUCCACGCCGUAAACGAUGUCUACUAGCCGUUGGGGUCCUUGAGACUUUAGUGGCGCAGUUAACGCGAUAAGU
This 519-nucleotide ribosomal RNA is filed under the name uncultured bacterium. RNAcentral's name for it is "partial 16S ribosomal RNA". It matches the Rfam family "Bacterial small subunit ribosomal RNA", at positions 355 to 865 of the family's 1533-position model. The record is from RNAcentral.